GUGCUUACUUUGGCAGCACUGGAUACUAACAUUGGAGUGGCACAGAGAAGAUUAGCAUGUCCCUCCAGCAAGGAUGGCACGCAGAUUAAUCCCUUUUAUU
This 100-nucleotide small nuclear RNA is filed under the name Otolemur garnettii (small-eared galago). Lineage: Eukaryota; Metazoa; Chordata; Mammalia; Primates; Galagidae. The record is from RNAcentral.